AGUGAACGCUGGCGGUAGGCCUAACACAUGCAAGUCGAACGGCAGCACAGUAAGAGCUUGCUCUUACGGGUGGCGAGUGGCGGACGGGUGAGGAAUACAUCGGAAUCUACUUUUUCGUGGGGGAUAACGUAGGGAAACUUACGCUAAUACCUCAUACUACCUACGGGUUAAAGCAGGGGAUCUUCGGACCUUGCGCGAUUGAAUGAGCCGAUGUCGGAUUAGCUAGUUGGCGGGGUAAAGGCCCACCAAGGCGACGAUCCGUAGCUGGUCUGAGAGGAUGAUCAGCCACACUGGAACUGAGACACGGUCCAGACUCCUACGGGAGGCAGCAGUGGGGAAUAUUGGACAAAGGGCGCAAGCCUGAUCCAGCCAUACCGCGUGGGUGAAGAAGGCCUUCGGGUUGUAAAGCCCUUUUGUUGGGAAAGAAAAGAAGCAGGUUAAUACCCCGAUGUUCUGACGGUACCCAAAGAAUAAGCACCGGCUAACUUCGUG
RNAcentral lists this ribosomal RNA (492 nucleotides) under uncultured bacterium. Its description in RNAcentral is "partial 16S ribosomal RNA". It matches the Rfam family "Bacterial small subunit ribosomal RNA", at positions 29 to 507 of the family's 1533-position model. The record is from RNAcentral.